UCACUUCACUGGAACACUCUGCCCAUCUCUCCACUUCCGUCCUAUCCUGAUUAGUUUUUAUGAUUUUCAGUUAUGAAGUGAAACUGAUCUUCCAGUCUGAGUGUUGAUUUCUCAAUUUCUCAUUGACAAUGAUACUGUCCAUUUUAGUUGAUAUUUAAUUUUCUUGAUCCUUAUUAAGGCUUUAUUCUUGAUAUCUCUUUUUCUGACAGUAAUAUAGAUUUCUGAACUUUAAGAUAAUAGCAUAGUGUUUUUCCUCCCCAUUUGACGUAUGAAUGUUCUGUGUUCUUACUUCAGAACUUUCUUAGGAAAGCAUGGGAUUUCCUGCGAUGUUUUUCUCUGCUUUCCAUUUCUGAUUUCUACUGGGUCCUUGACAUUGUCUUUGUUCUUUCUUCUCCCCUCUCAUGGUAUGGAUAUUCUCAGUUCUAUUUCUAUCCUUUCAGUAGGUACUUUUAAGAUUUUUAAACACGCAUAACUGGCUUAAAAACAUUCAGUCAAAAUUUCGGAGGCCUUCUAUGACCUAAACAAGACUGCGUUAGCUUGUCAUUGCUGUGAUCUAAAUGCCCAACAUAAACAGCUUCAUGUCAGGAGGAAAGACUGAUCUUGGCUCACGGUUUCAGAAGUCUCAGUUCAUGGUCGGCUGGCUCCAUAGCUCGGGGCCUGAGG
Molecule: long non-coding RNA, 663 nt
Filed under: Marmota monax (woodchuck)
Lineage: Eukaryota; Metazoa; Chordata; Mammalia; Rodentia; Sciuridae
Source: RNAcentral